UCGUCGCGGUGCUGUUCACCCCGCUGCUCCGCGUCGCCAUCCUGCCUGCCAAAAUGAAGGGUCAUCAUGACGAGAAGGGCCGGGUGGCGCAAAUGUUUGCGCGUUUGCUUUUCUUCUGUAUGCAUCACCGAUGGACCACGAUCGGGGUGACUGUUGCGGCCUUUCUGAUCGCCUUGUUUGGCAUGAAGUUCAUACCGCAGCAGUUCUUUCCGUCCUCUGACCGCAG
RNAcentral lists this unclassified non-coding RNA (226 nucleotides) under Hevea brasiliensis (rubber tree). Lineage: Eukaryota; Viridiplantae; Streptophyta; Magnoliopsida; Malpighiales; Euphorbiaceae. The record is from RNAcentral.